GGGAAAAUGAUCAAGAAGGGCCCACAUGGGGGCUGGUUUUAAGCACCUGAACAGUGCCGAUUUAGGGUAAUAGAAGGAGAUGGCUGGGAUUUAAUUGGGCCGAGCAUAAAAAGGGGUGGUAGGCUGAGGGGUUUAAAAAAAAAUAAAUAAAGAAAAAGAAAAAGGAAAAAGGGAAAGAAGAGAGGAAGAGAGAUUUGGGUGAGCGAAUGAGCAACAUGUGGAAAAUUGCUUAAGUAAGAUUUGAGGAGAUUGUUGUCGAAUUAGAGGACGAUGGAAGCAAGAGAUAAGUAGAUUAUGAAUUUCAAACACUGUUAUGGCAUUUCGUGUUUACUUUCCUAAGAUUCGGUUUCGAAUGGAUGGUGAGCACUUUGGACAGAGGAGUGGAGUUGAGUGUGAAAGGAUAUCGAGGAGGAAGCUGUGAACUGCUUCGGGAAUUAGAUGAGGAAGUAAUUAGCGGAGAAAAAUAAAAUGAAAAACUAUGGAGUGAGACAAAGAAGAGACACCGCGCAGGAAUGAUGAGUGAAAGAAGAAGAAAAAAAAUGGGAGUGUAAACUGAGAGAGGGAGACAGGAUUAUGGAAUUAGGCGACGGUAGGGAAACGAGAGAGGACAGAAAUACAAGAAUCUGAGCUACGCUAGUGAACCACGGAGGUUGUGGUGUCGAGGCACACGUUGGCCGUCGGUUAGGAGAACGGACAGGGAGAGGUUUUAGAUAAAAUGCUGUGUUGUGUAUGAGAAAUGUGGGAACUCCUAGGGGAGGCGAGGAAAUAGCUGAACUGUGUCUUAGUAUACUGAGGUUGGUGAAAGUGUGUGUGAGUAUGGCCAACUAAUGGCAGUUAUGUGUAUGGAAAAUGUGUUAAGGUUUCUGAUUGUCUAUGUCAACCUGAAUUUAAUUUAUACUGUUUGCUUGUCAAAAGUUGCAUGAGUGAAUGGUAAAUGAAUAGAAAUUGGGAAAAACAUAAAGCCGUGAUGGUUGAGUUAUUUUGUGUUGGGAUGCCGAUGUUGACGGUGGUUGGAGUAUGUUUCCAUGUUGCUGGUAUGUGUGCUCGAUUUAUGGUCGGACUAGCAUAGCAUGUAAAUGCGAUCGACUUUCUGGUAGCGGUGGUAGACCGAUAUUUUAUAGUGAUGAUUGCUAGUGUGUUUUGAUUAGUUUUCUUUUGGUUGUUUGAGUUUGCAGUGAGUGCAUGAAAGAGGUUGUGUGUAGGGGAGGGCUGACCAGGAUAGAGCUAAAAUAGAUUUUGGAUAGGGGAAAUAUCAUAUGUAGAUUAAAUCAUAUUAUUUGGCAUGUGGUAUCGUUAAAGAAAAUGGGAUUUUAGGAAAAGAAGAGUCGUAUAGGUGUAGUGGAACAAAGUGAUAACAGGGGAGUGUUGGUGGUAGGUGCUGUUGAAAGAAAAAAAAAAAAAAAAAGAUUUGAGUGGUUAGAUGAGGACAGAACAAUAAAGGAAGAGAACUUAGAACUUGUGUAGACAAUUAAAUGAAAUUCUAUACUUUGGUUUUAUUGUUUGAAUUUAUCUUACUGUAAUUGUGUGUGUUAAUUAUAUAUUAUUUAUAGAUAUUGUAAAAUAGGAAACCGGACCAGGAUUUCUUUCUUUUGAGCUUAGUGUUUAGAGAAGACAAGUUAGCCGAUGC
This 1627-nucleotide long non-coding RNA is filed under the name Carica papaya (papaya). Its description in RNAcentral is "long non-coding RNA (CPAP_LNC011116)". The record is from RNAcentral. Lineage: Eukaryota; Viridiplantae; Streptophyta; Magnoliopsida; Brassicales; Caricaceae.